UUUUGCACUCAUCGGGGAAGGGUGAGAACCUUCGACUAAGGUUCGAUUCGAGCGAAAGCGAGAGAACGUUGCCACAGGCAACGGCCCGAAGGGUGAGGAGCGAAGCGACGAAUAAUCCUUCCCCCACCACCA
RNAcentral lists this small RNA (132 nucleotides) under Escherichia coli. Its description in RNAcentral is "RtT sRNA". It matches the Rfam family "RtT RNA". Rfam says of the family: This family represents a bacterial cis-regulatory element known as RtT RNA. Lineage: Bacteria; Pseudomonadati; Pseudomonadota; Gammaproteobacteria; Enterobacterales; Enterobacteriaceae. The record is from RNAcentral.